RNAcentral lists this small nuclear RNA (109 nucleotides) under Oncorhynchus mykiss (rainbow trout). RNAcentral describes it as "U2 spliceosomal RNA (ENSOMYG00000049846.1)". It matches the Rfam family "U2 spliceosomal RNA", at positions 1 to 75 of the family's 192-position model. From Rfam's summary of the family: U2 is a small nuclear RNA (snRNA) component of the spliceosome (involved in pre-mRNA splicing). Complementary binding between U2 snRNA (in an area lying towards the 5' end but 3' to hairpin I) and the branchpoint sequence (BPS) of the intron results the bulging out of an unpaired adenosine, on the BPS, which initiates a nucleophilic attack at the intronic 5' splice site, thus starting the first of two transesterification reactions that mediate splicing. The record is from RNAcentral. Lineage: Eukaryota; Metazoa; Chordata; Actinopteri; Salmoniformes; Salmonidae.
AUCGCUUCUCGGCCUUUUGGCUAAGAUCAAGUGUAGUAUCUGUUCUUAUCAGUCAAAAGCAGUGGGAGUACACUGCGGCGUCCGUCAGGGCUGUCCGUUAUCUCCCCUU